This 441-nucleotide ribosomal RNA is filed under the name uncultured bacterium. Its description in RNAcentral is "partial 16S ribosomal RNA". It matches the Rfam family "Bacterial small subunit ribosomal RNA", at positions 338 to 795 of the family's 1533-position model. The record is from RNAcentral.
CCUACGGGUGGCAGCAGUGGGGGAUAUUGCACAAUGGGGGGAACCCUGAUGCAGCGACGCCGCGUGGGUGAAGGAGGGCUUCGGCAUGUAAAGCCUUAUCGGCAGGGAAGAAGCAAGACGGUACCUGACUAAGAAGCACCGGCUAACUGGGUGCCAGCAGCCUAGGUAAUACGCAGGGGGCGAGCGUUAUCCGGAUUCACUGGGUGUAAAGGGAGCGUAGACGGCAAUGCAGGCCAGUGGUGAAAGACUGGGGCACAACCCCGAGUUUGCCGUUGGACCUGCAUGGCUGUGGUGCAGGAGGGGCAGGCGGAAUUCCUGGUGUAGCGGUGAAAUGCGUAGAUAUCAGGAGGAACACCGGUGGCGAAGGCGGCCUGCUGGACCGCGACUGACGUUGAGGCUCGAAAGCGUGGGGAGCGAACAGGAUUAGAUACCCUUGUAGUC